GGAUGCGAUCAUACCAGCACUAAAGCACCGGAUCCCAUCUGAACUCCGAAGUUAAGCUUGCUUGGGCGAGAGUAGUACUAGGAUGGGUGACCUACUCUGGGAAGUCCUCGUGUUGCAUUCC
RNAcentral lists this ribosomal RNA (121 nucleotides) under Aegilops tauschii subsp. strangulata. Lineage: Eukaryota; Viridiplantae; Streptophyta; Magnoliopsida; Poales; Poaceae. The record is from RNAcentral.